Non-coding RNA from Paramuricea clavata, 596 nucleotides. NCBI's taxonomy places the organism in Eukaryota, Metazoa, Cnidaria, Anthozoa, Malacalcyonacea, Plexauridae. The record is from the annotation of a GenBank genome assembly.
CACAACAGCAGUUGCCAAUUACCGUGGGCCCUAUGUUUAAAUAUUUAUAAAAAACAAUAAUGAAUGUUCUUACAGUUAAAUGCAACAAGAAAUUGGUUUGUUCAGCGGACGUCCUCGAUUACACUUGAUGCAAACUGUUUUGAAAGAGCGCGGAUCGUCCCAUUGAUAAUAUGACAAUGAUGCUUUGUAAUAAUUGAGCAUGAUUGUUUUAAAAGAUAUCAGGUUGUUAGUACUCAAACAAAGUUCAUCUGCCAAAACGUUCCAUACUCUACAUGUUCGUACAAAGUAAGAACGCUGAUAUGUGGUUGUCUUGCAUUUUGGCACUACAAACUUUAUCACGUUGCUCGCUGAUGAUCUGGUCGACCUAGUGUUUCUGGCCGUAGGUAUAACGGUAUGAUCUAUAAUGACUAGUCCGUGAAUGAUCUUGAAGAAAAAUAUCAUAUCCUGCAGUUCAUGCCAGUAGGUAAUAGGGAUAAGAUUCAAUUUUUUCAAUCGAAGAGUGUAAUCUACAUUAGAACUGUAUGGUAUGCUAAGAAUAUAUCUCGUUGCACGCCUUUGUAUGCGCUCUAAUUUACCAAUUAAUUGGACGAACUGCG